This 225-nucleotide long non-coding RNA is filed under the name Capsicum annuum. RNAcentral's name for it is "long non-coding RNA (CANN_LNC009532)". Lineage: Eukaryota; Viridiplantae; Streptophyta; Magnoliopsida; Solanales; Solanaceae. The record is from RNAcentral.
GGUUGAAAAUGGUUAAGUGUAGGGACUUUAAAGGGGAUUUUUUUGUUUUGAAUGUGGUUUUGUUUUGAUACUUAGUUGCUUGAAAAUGGUUAAGUGUAGGAACUUUAAAGAGGAUUUUUUUGUUUUGAAUGUUGUUUGUUAGGUGACUUAGUUGCUUGAAAAUAGUUAACUUUAGGGACUUUAACGGGAAUUUUUUUGUUUUAAAUGUGGUUUAGUAGGUGACUU